UACGUAGGGUGCGAGCGUUGUCCGGAAUUACUGGGCGUAAAGAGCUCGUAGGUGGUUUGUCGCGUUGUUCGUGAAAACCGGGGACUUAACCCUCGGCGUGCGGGCGAUACGGGCAGACUUGAGUACUGCAGGGGAGACUGGAAUUCCUGGUGGAGCGGUGAAAUGCGCAGAUAUCAGGAGGAACACCCGUAGCGAAGGCGGCACUCUGGGCCGAUACUGACACUGAGGAGCGAAAGUGUGGGGAGCGAACAGG
RNAcentral lists this ribosomal RNA (253 nucleotides) under uncultured bacterium. Its description in RNAcentral is "partial 16S ribosomal RNA". It matches the Rfam family "Bacterial small subunit ribosomal RNA", at positions 524 to 776 of the family's 1533-position model. The record is from RNAcentral.